This 291-nucleotide long non-coding RNA is filed under the name Trifolium pratense (red clover). RNAcentral describes it as "long non-coding RNA (TPRA_LNC007994)". Lineage: Eukaryota; Viridiplantae; Streptophyta; Magnoliopsida; Fabales; Fabaceae. The record is from RNAcentral.
AGAGUUGAUUCCGCAGCAAUUACUUUGCCGCCGAGUGCUGGAUGCAGUAGAGGAUCCAUACUCAUAAAAACCAAAGAGGAUCAGUGUUUUCUUAUAAGCUGUAUUCUGUUGUGAUUUCUAAUGCAAUUCUUAUUCGUUCAAACUAAGCAACUUACGAGUUGUCUCAAACUAAGCAAUAAAUCUUGUUUUAAACUAUCAUUUGACAAACAAAUUCUUGUUCAUACUCAUGAGUUGUCUCUGCAUAUUUUGAUUGGAGACAUGAUGCUACUAUCUUUCAUUCUUAAAUCUGAC